AAAACACUUCACUCACCCAACUUCCCCAACAUUCAUCAGACACGCUGUGAAUUGGAAACCCUAAUCCAAUUCGAAACCUGAAAAUCCCCCAAAUCCAUUGGCUUCUGGAAGGAAUUCGUUGAACUUUUCUUCCUGAAGGCAAAAUCGUUUCUGUGGAAGUAAAUGAAAUUACCCAAAAUUGAAACCCACGAACCCCAAGGCGAACCUUGCGAUUUUUCCCGAAAAAAUCGAUCUGCAUCUGCACCGGCAGGUUAAUGGAUCCACCGAUAGUUUACUGGGUUUCUUCCAUCUUUUUUGCAGUUUUUGGAGGAGGAUGAUUCUGUUACUUAUUUUAGAGAUUUUAAGAAAAAAGCCCAUUUUUUGUCAAUGGUGAUGAGGUAUGUAUCUAUAAAUAUUUCAAGUUCUACCAAAGUUUCGUAUUCUGCAGUAAUAUUUUUGGUUUGUUCAAUUAAAAAUUCUUCUUGAACUUUUUUGGAAAUUCUGGAGAUGGUGCAUAAUAAUGAAAUUAACCAUUAAUUAGCAAAUCUUAACUUGCUUUCUUGAAUUUGGGUUCAUUGUCACUGAUCAAGCCUUUUUCUUCUGCUCGAUUAUCUAUAACUUUGUAAUGGUACUUCUUUUGGUGGCUUUGUUGUGGAACAUUUACACUUUUUGAUUCCUAUAACAUGUUUUUUAGGAGUGGAAGACGUGCUGUGGGAUGUAAGUUUUUUAGAGUUGAAGAAAAUUAAUGGAAAUGUUGUAUGGCAUGUAUAGAUGAUGCAAGGAUACGGUAGAAUUUUCUUUGCAUUUAGAGAGUCUUCCAUAUUCAGAAACAAUUUAUGUGUGCAUGAUUGUUCUAUAUUGAUCUUUGAUUUGUAACUGCAGUGGCAAAGAAUUUUGUAUCUAUGGUUAAAUUGAUCUUUUUCUCUAGUUGAUGCAUCUCAUGUGUAUCAGUAUGACAUAGUUGGACUCAUUUGACGAUAUUUUCUUUGCAUUAUUUGUAGUGGACAAAGUAGAAACUUUGAAGCACUACAAAUUUAGCGUCACUUUCG
Molecule: long non-coding RNA, 1028 nt
Filed under: Olea europaea subsp. europaea
Lineage: Eukaryota; Viridiplantae; Streptophyta; Magnoliopsida; Lamiales; Oleaceae
Source: RNAcentral